This 795-nucleotide ribosomal RNA is filed under the name uncultured Thelephoraceae. RNAcentral's name for it is "eukaryotic LSU rRNA". The stretch from base 216 to 370 matches the Rfam family "5.8S ribosomal RNA". The record is from RNAcentral. Lineage: Eukaryota; Fungi; Basidiomycota; Agaricomycetes; Thelephorales; Thelephoraceae.
AGGAUCAUUACUGAGUUGCCAACACGAGCUGUUGCUGGUCCUCAAACAUUGGGGGCAUGUGCACGCUCUUGUUCACACAUCCACUCACACCUGUGCACCCUCUGUAGUUCUAUGGUCUGGGGGACACCUGUCUUCCUCCUGUAGCUCUACGUUUUUACACAUACACCGUAGCAAAGUCUUUUGGAAUGUGCACCGCGUUUAACGCAAUACAAUACAACUUUCAGCAACGGAUCUCUUGGCUCUCGCAUCGAUGAAGAACGCAGCGAAAUGCGAUAAGUAAUGUGAAUUGCAGAAUUCAGUGAAUCAUCGAAUCUUUGAACGCACCUUGCGCCCCUUGGCUAUUCCGAGGGGCAUGCCUGUUUGAGUAUCAUGAACAUCUCAACUCUCACGCUUUGCCGUGAUGAGCUUGGACUUUUUGGGGGUUUUGCUGGCCUACCGUCAGCUCCUCUGAAACAGAUCAGCUUGCCAGUAUUUGGUGGCGUCACAGGUGUGAUAACUAUCUACGCUUGCGAUUGUUUACCGAGUAACCUUUGGCAACAAAGGUUUGCUGGAGCUCAUAAAUGUCUCUCCUCAGCGAAGACAGCUUUUGACCGUUCGAUCUCAAAUCAGGUAGGACUACCCGCUGAACUUAAGCAUAUCAAUAAGCGGAGGAAAAGAAACUAACAAGGAUUCCCCUAGUAACUGCGAGUGAAGCGGGAAGAGCUCAAAUUUAAAAUCUGGCGUGCCUCUGGUCGUCCGAGUUGUAGCCUGGAGAAGUGUUUUCCGUGUUGGACCGUGUAUAAGUCUCUUGGAACA